RNAcentral lists this ribosomal RNA (253 nucleotides) under uncultured bacterium. RNAcentral describes it as "partial 16S ribosomal RNA". It matches the Rfam family "Bacterial small subunit ribosomal RNA", at positions 524 to 776 of the family's 1533-position model. The record is from RNAcentral.
UACGUAGGGUGCAAGCGUUGUUCGGAAUCAUUGGGCGUAAAGAGCGUGUAGGUGGCUUACCAAGUCGAUUGUGAAAGCCCUCGGCUCAACCGGGGAAGUGCAGUCGAAACUGGUAGGCUCGAGGACGGUAGAGGAAGGUGGAAUUCCUAGUGUAGAGGUGAAAUUCGUAGAUAUUGGGAAGAACACCGGUGGCGAAGGCGGCGAGCUGGUCCAUUACUGACGCUGAGGCGCGACAGCGUGGGGAGCAAACAGG